RNAcentral lists this ribosomal RNA (253 nucleotides) under uncultured bacterium. RNAcentral's name for it is "partial 16S ribosomal RNA". It matches the Rfam family "Archaeal small subunit ribosomal RNA", at positions 474 to 727 of the family's 1478-position model. The record is from RNAcentral.
UACCUGCAGCUCAAGUGGUGGCCGCUAUUAUUGGGCCUAAAACGUCCGUAGCCGGUUUCAUAAAUGCCUGGGUAAAUCGUACGGCUUAACCGUAUGAAUUCCGGGUAGACUGUUUAACUUGAGACCGGGAGAGGCUAGAGGUACUCCUGGGGUAGAGGUGAAAUUCUGUAAUCCUAGGGGGACCACCAGUGGCGAAGGCGUCUAGCUAGAACGGGUCUGACGGUGAGGGACGAAGCCCUGGGGAGCAAACGGG